GGGGCUGAUUCAGGUUUCGACUUCGUACAUUGAGCCAGGGGAAGCGUGCCGGUGCAGGCUGAGGACCACCGUAAGCGUCGCAGCAAACCCAUAAGCGCCGAGAACACUCAGCGCGACUACGCCCUCGCUGCCUAAGUAGCGACCGCGUGUCUGUCAGACCGGGCUCGUUCCCGACCCGGACCCUGGCAUCGACUAGGGAACUUGCCGUCCGGCCGCGUCAGCGGGGUUGGACGGGACACCUACCGCUGACUGGGCCCAUCAUCCGGAACGUGUUCGUCCGAGCCGGAGGGCCGAGCAGAGAUCCAGCGCGAACUGCGCACGGAGAAGCCCUGGCGAGGUGACGGAGGACCCGGGUUCAAUUCCCGGCAGCUCCACCG
Molecule: non-coding RNA, 377 nt
Organism: Corynebacterium pollutisoli
Lineage: Bacteria; Bacillati; Actinomycetota; Actinomycetes; Mycobacteriales; Corynebacteriaceae
Source: Rfam